RNAcentral lists this ribosomal RNA (253 nucleotides) under uncultured bacterium. RNAcentral's name for it is "partial 16S ribosomal RNA". It matches the Rfam family "Bacterial small subunit ribosomal RNA", at positions 524 to 776 of the family's 1533-position model. The record is from RNAcentral.
UACGUGGGGUGCAAACGUUGCUCGGAAUUAUUGGGCGUAAAGCGCACGUAGGCGGCUCUUUAAGUCGCAUGUGAAAGCCCCAGGCUUAACCUGGGAAGUGCAUGCGAUACUGAAAAGCUUGAGUACUAGAGGAGGUCGCGGAAUUCCCGGUGUAGAGGUGAAAUUCGUAGAUAUCGGGAGGAACACCAGCGGCGAAGGCGGCGACCUGGAUAGAUACUGACGCUGAGGUGCGAAAGCGUGGGGAGCAAACAGG